AGAGUUUGAUCCUGGCUCAGGAUGAACGCUGGCGGCGUGCCUAAUACAUGCAAGUCGAGCGAGAAUUUUUCAAAUGACGCUUCGGUUGAAUUUGGAAAAGGACAGCGGCGGACGGGUGAGUAACGCGCAGGCAACCUGCCCCUGACAGAGGGAUAGCCAUUGGAAACGAUGAUUAAAACCUCAUAACGCCGAAGGAACACAUGUUUCAUCGGCCAAAGAUUUAUCGGUCAGGGAUGGGCCUGCGUCUGAUUAACUAGUUGGUGAGGUAACGGCCCACCAAGGUGACGAUCAGUAGCCGACCUGAGAGGGUGAUCGGCCACAUUGGAACUGAGACACGGUCCAAACUUCUACGGAAGGCAGCAGUAGGGAAUCUUGCACAAUGGGCGAAAGCCUGAUGCAGCAACGCCGCGUGAAGGAUGAAGGCCUUCGGGUUGUAACUUCUUUCUUAGGGAAGAAGAAAGUGACGGUGACCUAAGGAGAAAGCCCCGGCUAACUACGUGCCAGCAGCCGCGGUAAUACGUAGGGGGCAAGCGUUAUCCGGAAUUAUUGGGCGUAAAGAGUGCGUAGGUGGUUAUCUAAGCGUAAGGUUUAAGCGUGCAGCUCAACUGCAUCUCGCCUUGCGAACUGGACUACUUGAGUGCAGGAGGGGAAAGCGGAAUUCCUAGUGUAGCGGUGAAAUGCGUAGAUAUUAGGAGGAACACCAGCGGCGAAGGCGGCUUUCUGGACUGUAACUGACACUGAGGCACGAAAGCGUGGGGAGCAAACAGGAUUAGAUACCCUGGUAGUCCACGCCGUAAACGAUGAGCACUAGAUGUUGGUCCCGAAG
RNAcentral lists this ribosomal RNA (826 nucleotides) under uncultured bacterium. RNAcentral's name for it is "bacterial SSU rRNA". It matches the Rfam family "Bacterial small subunit ribosomal RNA", at positions 8 to 834 of the family's 1533-position model. The record is from RNAcentral.